Molecule: ribosomal RNA, 1038 nt
Filed under: Fusarium sp. BOL35
Lineage: Eukaryota; Fungi; Ascomycota; Sordariomycetes; Hypocreales; Nectriaceae
Description: eukaryotic LSU rRNA
Rfam family: Eukaryotic large subunit ribosomal RNA (bases 438-1038)
Source: RNAcentral
GUUGCUUCGGCGGGAACAGACGGCCCCGUAACACGGGCCGCCCCCGCCAGAGGACCUUAACUCUGUUUCUUAUAAUGUUUCUUCUGAGUAAAACAAGCAAAUAAAUUAAAACUUUCAACAACGGAUCUCUUGGCUCUGGCAUCGAUGAAGAACGCAGCGAAAUGCGAUAAGUAAUGUGAAUUGCAGAAUUCAGUGAAUCAUCGAAUCUUUGAACGCACAUUGCGCCCGCCAGUAUUCUGGCGGGCAUGCCUGUUCGAGCGUCAUUACAACCCUCAGGCCCCCGGGCCUGGCGUUGGGGAAUCGGGGAACCCCCGGGGGCACACGCCGUCCCCCAAAUACAGGGGGGGUCCCCCCGCAGCUUCCAUUGCGUAGUAGCUAACCCCUCCCCACCUGAGAGCGGGGCGGCCACGCCGUAAAACCCCCCACUCUUCUGAAGUUGACCUCGAAUCAGGUAGGAAUACCCGCUGAACUUAAGCAUAUCCAUAAGCGGAGGAAAAGAAACCAACAGGGAUUGCCCUAGUAACGGCGAGUGAAGCGGCAACAGCUCAAAUUUGAAAUCUGGCUCUCGGGCCCGAGUUGUAAUUUGUAGAGGAUGCUUUUGGUGAGGUGCCUUCCGAGUUCCCUGGAACGGGACGCCACAGAGGGUGAGAGCCCCGUCUGGUUGGACACCGAUCCUCUGUAAAGCUCCUUCGACGAGUCGAGUAGUUUGGGAAUGCUGCUCUAAAUGGGAGGUAUAUGUCUUCUAAAGCUAAAUACCGGCCAGAGACCGAUAGCGCACAAGUAGAGUGAUCGAAAGAUGAAAAGAACUUUGAAAAGAGAGUUAAAAAGUACGUGAAAUUGUUGAAAGGGAAGCGCUUGUGACCAGACUUGGGCUUGGUUGAUCAUCCAGGGUUCUCCCUGGUGCACUCUUCCGGCCCAGGCCAGCAUCAGUUCGCCCCGGGGGAAAAAGGCUUCGGGAAUGUGGCUCUCUCCGGGGAGUGUUAUAGCCCGUUGCGUAAUACCCUGUGGCGAACUGAGGUUCGCGCAUUCGCAAGGAUG